RNAcentral lists this ribosomal RNA (492 nucleotides) under uncultured bacterium. Its description in RNAcentral is "partial 16S ribosomal RNA". It matches the Rfam family "Bacterial small subunit ribosomal RNA", at positions 29 to 507 of the family's 1533-position model. The record is from RNAcentral.
AGUGAACGCUGGCGGUAGGCCUAACACAUGCAAGUCGAACGGCAGCACAGUAAGAGCUUGCUCUUACGGGUGGCGAGUGGCGGACGGGUGAGGAAUACAUCGGAAUCUACUUUUUCGUGGGGGAUAACGUAGGGAAACUUACGCUAAUACCGCAUACGACCUACGGGUGAAAGCAGGGGAUCUUCGGACCUUGCGCGAUUGAAUGAGCCGAUGUCGGAUUAGCUAGUUGGCGGGGUAAAGGCCCACCAAGGCGACGAUCCGUAGCUGGUCUGAGAGGAUGAUCAGCCACACUGGAACUGAGACACGGUCCAGACUCCUACGGGAGGCAGCAGUGGGGAAUAUUGGACAAUGGGCGCAAGCCUGAUCCAGCAAUACCGCGUGGGUGAAGAAGGCCUUCGGGUUGUAAAGCCCUUUUGUUGGGAAAGAAAAGCAGCAGGUUAAUACCCCGCUGUUAUGACGGUACCCAAAGAAUAAGCACCGGCUAACUUCGUG